GAGUAACAUCGCAAACAUAUUAUUCACCUGAGUACACAACACCAACACAGAAAAAUUCAAAAUCUCUUCAGUUUUUUGUGUGUAACUGCCAAAACUUGAUUCAUUUGCAAUAAACUUGUAUAAGUAUGGUUCGAUUUUAGUAAAAUACCGAUUUUUCUUGGGAUUUUUUUGGUUCUUCCGGUUUUUCUCCAAAAGUAACAUCGAGUAUUUCGGUUUUCAAAAACCAUAGUUUUUUUUCGGUUUACCGAAAAACCGCCUCACCCUUGCGUAUUGUCAUGUUUUGUGC
Non-coding RNA from Paramuricea clavata, 286 nucleotides. The record is from the annotation of a GenBank genome assembly. NCBI's taxonomy places the organism in Eukaryota, Metazoa, Cnidaria, Anthozoa, Malacalcyonacea, Plexauridae.